Molecule: non-coding RNA, 299 nt
Organism: Pelobates cultripes (western spadefoot toad)
Lineage: Eukaryota; Metazoa; Chordata; Amphibia; Anura; Pelobatidae
Source: the annotation of a GenBank genome assembly
CCAUCUUCUUGCAUACCACUCUAAGUUGUUAUAUGAUCGGUCCUUGUGGCAAAACCACAAAUCAACAGGCAGCAUGGAGCUUCCAAAUGAAGGAUCUUUUUAUCUAGCCAAGGAUAGUGAGAGUCUGAGCAGUGAGAGAGCUUUGUGUCCAGCUGGGUAAAGUGAGAGACCAGGAGGAGCUUUGUAUCCUCUCAAUGAUAUGAAGAAACCAGGAGGAGCUGUGUGUUCAGCCAGAAAGAAUAGGAGACCAGGAGGAGCUGUGUGUUCAGCCAGGAAGAAUAGUAGACCAGGAGGAGCUG